Dreissena polymorpha is the source of this 2875-nucleotide long non-coding RNA. RefSeq lists it as uncharacterized. The transcript is spliced from 9 exons. NCBI's taxonomy places the organism in Eukaryota, Metazoa, Mollusca, Bivalvia, Myida, Dreissenidae. The record is from RefSeq and is a predicted model, not a curated record.
AUGGGGGAGAGGUUUAUGAAGCACCCUGAACUUCUCAAUCUCACAGCAACAGUAGAGCAACAUGACCUCUAGCAGCAGCCUCAGCCGUGGGGGACAGGGGCUCUAGCAGCAGCCUCAGCUGUGGGGGAUAGGGGCUCCAGCAGCAGCCUUAGCCGUGGGGGACAGCAAUCUGGGCUCUAGCAGCAGCCUCAGCCGUGGGGGACAGGUUUAUGAAGCAAUCUGGGCUCUAGCAGCAGCCUCAGCCAUGGGGGACAGGUUUAUGAAGCACCCUGCACUUCUCAAUCUCACAGCAACAGUAGAUCAACAUGACCUCCAGCAGCAGCCUCAGCCAUGGGGGACAGGUUUAUGAAGCACGCUGAACUUCUCAAUCUCACAGCAACAGUAGAUCAACAUGACCUCCAGCAGCAGCCUCAGCCAUGGGGGACAGGUUUAUGAAGCACCCUGAACUUCUCAAUCUCACAGCAACAGUAGAUCAACAUGACCUCCAGCAGCAGCCUCAGCCAUGGGGGACAGGUUUAUGAAGCAAUCUGGGCUCUAGCAGCAGCCUAAGCCAUGGGGGACAGGUUUAUGAAGCACCCUGAACUUCACAAUCUCACAGCAACAGUAGAUCAACAUGACCUCCAGCAGCAGCCUCAGCCAUGGGGGACAGGUUUAUGAAGCAAUCUGGGCUCUAGCAGCAGCCUCAGCCGUGGGGGACAGGUUUAUGAAGCACCCUGAACUUCACAAUCUCACAGCAACAGUAGAUCAACAUGACCUCCAGCAGCAGCCUCAGCCAUGGGGGACAGAUUUAUGAAGCACCCUGAACUUCUCAAUCUCACAGCAACAGUAGAUCAACAUGACCUCCAGCAGCAGCCUCAGCCAUGGGGGACAGGUUUAUGAAGCACCCUGAACUUCUCAAUCUCACAGCAACAGUAGAUCAACAUGACCUCUAGCAACAGCCUCAGCCAUGGGGGACAGGGACUCUAGCAGCAGCCUCAGCCAUGGGGGACAGGUUUAUGAAGCACCAUGAACUUCUCAAUCCCACAGCAACAGUAGAUCAACAUAACCUGAAAGCGGUUCCUGUUCAGUGUCUAACAGUAUUCUAAUGACCAAGCCACGCCAGCAAAGCAGUAAUAAUAGCAGUCAAGUCGAGGAUCACCCAAAACCACUUGGUGCCUAGCGAUAAUUUUUUAUGCUACCAACUUGACCUGGUUAUUGUACUAACGUGGGAGUCAGGUUUAAGGUCACAUUAGGUUAAAAGGCUUAAAUCAGCAUAUAUGGUCAUGGUAGUAAGAAAAUUUAAGAUAAUAAAGGGACUUGUUAACCAACUUGAUGACCAAGUUAUUUAAUAUUGUUCCAAAUGUAUCUUUAAAGGAAAUGACUGCAAUACAGGGAAUCAUAAGAAAAUCUACAUACUUUCACCUUUAAAUGUGUAAAAUUAACAAUAAACAAAAUGACUACAAAACAGGCAUUUACAAGAACAUCUUUGAACAUUUUCCUUUAAGUAUUGCUCAAUCUUUCUCAGUGAACAAAAUGUAUGCAGAAAGAAAAUCUUUGUCUCUAUAAAGAUUGCUUACUAUGUUUUUACUGCAAACUGAUUUAUUACAGAACAGGAAUGUAUCUUUUAACAUUAUCGUUGAAAUUUCUCAACCAUUUGCAGUUAACAACAUGACUGCAUAAUAUGGCGUCAAUGGCAAAGAAGAAGUGAUCAGAGGGGGUUAUAACGUGAAAGUCAAGAAGGCGACGUCCAUUAUGAGACUGAAAACCCUGAUUGCAAAAUGCAGAGUCUGCUCCGGAAGCAUUUGCAGACACAGAAUAUGAACCCGCUGCAGUCAUCGUCUUCAGAUUAUAUCAUCUCUAUGGUGCAGGACCCUCAGUCUGUGUACACAGGGAACCUUCGACGCCAAUGACGAAAUCAAACCAUACAAUCAGAAAUACACCCUGUUGCAGUAGUUAUUACCAUAUUGACCCCAGUCAAACAAAAGAAGCUCAGAGAUAAAUACUGUUCAUGGUGUUCUAGUCUCUACAUACCUUGUGGUAUGUUGAGCACGUACUCUGACAGGUUCUAUCUUAUAAUUGUUUGACUGGUGGAAAAUAAAUGACCUUGUUCAAGUCGAAAUGUCAGAAUAACAAUUCAUAAUUCAAAUGCCAAAAAGUCAUAUCAACAGCCACAUUUGUUAUGUGACCAGCAAAGUUGUUUUCAAAGAGACACAAUAGUUUACUUUAUAUUUUCUUGUGACCAACCAAGUUGUAUUUAAUGAAAAACAAUAGUUUAUGUUUUAUGGGAAUUAUGAUGCUGUCAGUCAUGUUAUGUUGGACGUUUUAGUUAAAUAUAGUAUGUUUCAAAAUGUAUUAUUUGAAGCACACAUAUUGCAGGUAUAUCCAAUGUCUGUGUUUGUAUUAUGAACCUUUCACUUCAGAUUUUGAUCCGGAUAUGGUAAAUUUAAGGGAAAUACAAUCAUAACAAAGUUAUUUUAAGAUUGUCAAAGCUGUUUAAAAGUUUAUGGUAACUUGGACACAAUUGAAAAUAUAUUGGCAUAUUGUCCAUGUUUCAGUUUUCUGUUUUACCAGUAAUAUAGAUGUGCUCAUUAAAAUAAUUCCCCAAAGAGGUUGAGAGUUAUGACACUUCAGCUUUUCUGUAUAUCAAUCUUUCUGAACACAAUACUUGUCAAUUUGCUCAUUCGGGUCGGUAUUUGAUCCAAAAUCUUGUUAAGUAGCAUACUAUUUCAAGGGAAUAUAAAUUAUCUGGGAAAAAGUGUUUAAUCUACUUAAAUUUAUUGAUUCUUUGUUACCACCAGUACUUUGUUGAUUUCAAUUGCUAUGGUUUGCUAAAUAAUUAAAGCAUGACUGUUGUUUUAUUUGGAAAGCUUUUAAUAAAACUCAGAAUUAAAAACAA